AGCGAACGCUGGCGGCAGGCCUAACACAUGCAAGUCGAACGAACUCUUCGGAGUUAGUGGCGGACGGGUGAGUAACACGUGGGAACGUGCCUUUUGGUUCGGAAUAACUCAGGGAAACUUGUGCUAAUACCGAAUGUGCCCUUCAGGGGAAAGAUUUAUCGCCAUUAGAGCGGCCCGCGUCUGAUUAGCUAGUUGGUGAGGUAACGGCUCACCAAGGCGACGAUCAGUAGCUGGUCUGAGAGGAUGACCAGCCACACUGGGACUGAGACACGGCCCAGACUCCUACGGGAGGCAGCAGUGGGGAAUCUUGCGCAAUGGGCGAAAGCCUGACGCAGCCAUGCCGCGUGAAUGAUGAAGGUCUUAGGAUUGUAAAAUUCUUUCACCGGGGACGAUAAUGACGGUACCCGGAGAAGAAGCCCCGGCUAACUUCGU
This 432-nucleotide ribosomal RNA is filed under the name uncultured bacterium. Its description in RNAcentral is "partial 16S ribosomal RNA". It matches the Rfam family "Bacterial small subunit ribosomal RNA", at positions 29 to 506 of the family's 1533-position model. The record is from RNAcentral.